RNAcentral lists this long non-coding RNA (541 nucleotides) under Mustela putorius furo (domestic ferret). Its description in RNAcentral is "lncRNA (ENSMPUG00000025423.1)". Lineage: Eukaryota; Metazoa; Chordata; Mammalia; Carnivora; Mustelidae. The record is from RNAcentral.
ACACAAUUUUGUUCCCAAGUGGGCUGCCACAUAAAUCUGUUUCCUAAAUUGCAAUUCUAAGACCCCAAAUAAAUGCUUUUUUUUUUUUUUAAACUUUAGUUCUGCAUCUUUUCUCCGUGGACAGAAUGAACUGGAGUUUGUGGGGAAGGCCUGCACUUCUUUAUAUCAUGGAAAAAAUAGAAGCACUGUGGGCAUGGGUUGAUGCAGGAUAUCAAAAAUGCACCAACAGUUGCAGUAAAUAAAAGAUCUUCCACCAUGUGCAAUCCACGGGGAGAACACCAUUGGAGACCAAGGGAGCAGCCUGACCUUUCCCAGCACUUUCACUCUGUGUAGGAAGGAAGGAUUUCAUAGGAGUAGUUUCAGUAUUAACACAAAACUCCUCAUCUUGAAAUAUCUGGCCCUCUCAAGUCUGACCUUGGAUACUCUGAACUUUCACUAUCAUAUGGAUGGAUGUGGAUUUCAUUGUACUUUCUCUGGUAAGAAUUUCUUGGGCUUCCUAAUCCUAUAAUCAGUUCUAGGAAUUUCUCAUUCAUACCUUUGA